Molecule: ribosomal RNA, 509 nt
Filed under: uncultured bacterium
Lineage: Bacteria
Description: bacterial SSU rRNA
Rfam family: Bacterial small subunit ribosomal RNA
Source: RNAcentral
GAGUUUGAUCUUGGCUCAGAUUGAACGCUGGCGGCAGGCCUAACACAUGCAAGUCGAGCGGUAGAGAGAAGCUUGCUUCUCUUGAGAGCGGCGGACGGGUGAGUAAUGCCUAGGAAUCUGCCUGGUAGUGGGGGAUAACGCUCGGAAACGGACGCUAAUACCGCAUACGUCCUACGGGAGAAAGCAGGGGACCUUCGGGCCUUGCGCUAUCAGAUGAGCCUAGGUCGGAUUAGCUAGUUGAUGAGGUAAUGGCUCACCAAGGCGACGAUCCGUAACUGGUCUGAGAGGAUGAUCAGUCACACUGGAACUGAGACGCGGUCCAGACUCCUACGGGAGGCAGCAGUGGGGAAUAUUGGACAAUGGGCGAAAGCCUGAUCCAGCCAUGCCGCGUGUGUGAGGAAGGUCUUCGGAUUGUAAAGCACUUUAAGUUGGGAGGAAGGGCAGUAAAUUAAUACUUUGCUGUUUUGACGUUACCGACAGAAUAAGCACCGGCUAACUCUGUGCCAGCC